RNAcentral lists this long non-coding RNA (638 nucleotides) under Equus caballus (horse). RNAcentral's name for it is "lncRNA (ENSECAG00000059416.1)". Lineage: Eukaryota; Metazoa; Chordata; Mammalia; Perissodactyla; Equidae. The record is from RNAcentral.
CCAUCACCUUCCAGAAAUGUCUGGCGGCCUGCCUCCCCCUCUGCAAGGGGGCGGGUUGGAGGGUGUACAGAGUAUGGUAAUAUGGCGACAGUGUUGCUUGUGCGCUCGUCACCCCUGCGCCCCCUCAGUGACAGACCCCCACUUUGUUUGGGAUUCAAAUGGAAACGUACACAGAGAAGGUGGGCCCAGUGCCCGGGCAUGAAUCAUGAGGGUCUAGGGCGUGGACUCCAAGCCAUCUUGUGGUUAUGCCAUUCCUCUGUGCCAGCGUAAUCGCGGAGGUGAAUUCCGAGAUGGAUGAACGACCUGGUCAGCAGCUCAGGAGUGACUGGUCUGAGCUGAGUCCUGAAGGGUGCCUCGGGAACUGCGGUCUUCAGCCCCCCCCAAGCUCACAGAUCCAAAGGCACAAUUCACGAACCCGAAGUGACGUCCGUUCCUUUCCUCCACCCUGCCCAGCCUGCCAUGGGUGGCCGUUGUGACACCUUGCCCCCCCAUCUGCAUCCUCUGCUGCCGCAGCCUUGUUCCCCGAUACUCAGGCCCAGGGUCUUUGCUGUUCUCUCUGAUGCACGAGGCUGGCAGGGGUAGUUUGGAGGUGUGAACAGUGGGACUGCACAACAUCUGGAUGGUUUGUGGGCUCAGAG